This 253-nucleotide ribosomal RNA is filed under the name uncultured bacterium. Its description in RNAcentral is "partial 16S ribosomal RNA". It matches the Rfam family "Bacterial small subunit ribosomal RNA", at positions 524 to 776 of the family's 1533-position model. The record is from RNAcentral.
UACGUAGGGUCCGAGCGUUGUCCGGAAUUAUUGGGCGUAAAGAGCUCGUAGGCGGUCUGUCGCGUCGGCUGUGAAAACCCGGAGCUCAACUCCGGGCCUGCAGUCGAUACGGGCAAACUGGAGUGUUGCAGGGGAGACUGGAAUUCCUGGUGUAGCGGUGAAAUGCGCAGAUAUCAGGAGGAACACCGGUGGCGAAGGCGGGUCUCUGGGCAACAACUGACGCUGAGGAGCGAAAGCGUGGGGAGCGAACAGG